RNAcentral lists this ribosomal RNA (442 nucleotides) under Leptopelis gramineus (Ethiopian burrowing tree frog). RNAcentral's name for it is "partial large subunit ribosomal RNA". It matches the Rfam family "Bacterial large subunit ribosomal RNA", at positions 1812 to 2484 of the family's 2925-position model. Lineage: Eukaryota; Metazoa; Chordata; Amphibia; Anura; Arthroleptidae. The record is from RNAcentral.
AACAUCGCCUCUUGACCACUAUAAGAGGUCCAGCCUGCCCAGUGACCAGUUUAACGGCCGCGGUACCCUAACCGUGCGAAGGUAGCAUAAUCACUUGUUUCUUAAAUAGAGACUAGUAUCAACGGCAUCACGAAGACUAUACUGUCUCCCCCCUAAAAUCAAUGAAACUGAUCUCCUCGUGAAGAAGCGAGGAUGUAUAUAUAAGACGAGAAGACCCCAUGGAGCUUUAAACGAACUUCAAUUGUUCCUACCCAUAACAUACAAAUUGAACACCCCUGAUAGUUAGUUUUAGGUUGGGGUGACCGCGGAGUAAAACAAAACCUCCACAAUGAAUGAAAUAAAAUUCUUAUAAAAGAACCACAAUUCUAAUAAUCAAAAAUUUGACAUAAAUUGACCCAAACACUUGAUCAAUGAACCAAGUUACCCUGGGGAUAACAGCGCA